RNAcentral lists this ribosomal RNA (253 nucleotides) under uncultured bacterium. RNAcentral describes it as "partial 16S ribosomal RNA". It matches the Rfam family "Bacterial small subunit ribosomal RNA", at positions 524 to 776 of the family's 1533-position model. The record is from RNAcentral.
UACGUAGGGUGCGAGCGUUAAUCGGAAUUACUGGGCGUAAAGCGUGCGCAGGCGGUUCGUCGUGUCUGAUGUGAAAGCCCCGGGCUCAACCUGGGAAUGGCAUUGGAAACUGGCGGACUAGAGUGUGGCAGAGGGGGGUGGAAUUCCGCGUGUAGCAGUGAAAUGCGCAGAUAUCGGGAGGAACACCGGUGGCGAAGGCGGUUCUCUGGGCCUGUACUGACGCUGAGGAGCGAAAGCGUGGGGAGCGAACAGG